UACGGGGUGCAGCAGGCGCGAAAACUUUACAAUGCUGGCAACAGCGAUAAGGGAACCUCGAGUGCCAGGUUACAAAUCUGGCUGUCGAGAUGCCUAAAAAGCAUUUCAUAGCAAGGGCCGGGCAAGACCGGUGCCAGCCGCCGCGGUAAUACCGGCGGCUCGAGUGGUGGCCGCUAUUACUGGGCUUAAAGGGUCCGUAGCUUGAUAACUGGGUCCCUUGAGAAAUCCGCCAGCUCAACUGGCGGGCGUUCAGGGGAAACUUGUUUUCUAGGGACCGGGAGAGGUAAGAGGUACUACAGGGGUAGGAGUGAAAUCUUGUAAUCCCUGUGGGACCACCUGUGGCGAAGGCGUCUUACCAGAACGGGUUCGACGGUGAGGGACGAAAGCUGGGGGCACGAACCGGAUUAGAUACCCGGGUAGUCCCAGCCGUAAACGAUGCUCGCUAGGUGUCAGGCAUGGCGCGACCGUGUCUGGUGCCGCAGGGAAGCCGUGAAGCGAGCCACCUGGGAAGUACGGCCGCAAGGCUGAAACUUAAAGGAAUUGGCGGGGGAGCACAACAACGGGUGGAGCCUGCGGUUUAAUUGGACUCAACGCCGGGAAUCUCA
RNAcentral lists this ribosomal RNA (605 nucleotides) under uncultured archaeon. Its description in RNAcentral is "bacterial SSU rRNA". It matches the Rfam family "Archaeal small subunit ribosomal RNA", at positions 324 to 929 of the family's 1478-position model. The record is from RNAcentral.